CGAGAGGAAGGAAAGCUUGCUUUUCUGAAUCUAGUGGCGAACGGGUGAGUAACACGUAGGUAACCUGCCCAUGUGCCCGGGAUAACUUCUGGAAACGGAUGCUAAAACCGGAUAGGUAGCAGACAAGCAUUUGACUGCUAUUAAAGUGGCCUUGGCCAUGAACAUGGAUGGACCUGCGGUGCAUUAGCUGGUUGGUGAGGUAACGGCCCACCAAGGCGACGAUGCAUAGCCGGCCUGAGAGGGCGGACGGCCACAUUGGGACUGAGACACGGCCCAAACUCCUACGGGAGGCAGCAGUAGGGAAUUUUCGUCAAUGGGGGGAACCCUGAACGAGCAAUGCCGCGUGAGUGAGGAAGGUCUUCGGAUCGUAAAGCUCUGUUGUAAGAGAAAAACGGCACUCAUAGGGAAUGAUGAGUGAGUGAUGGUAUCUUACCAGAAAGUCACGGCUAACUACGUGCCAGCAGCCGCGGUAAUACGUAGGUGGCGAGCGUUAUCCGGAAUGAUUGGGCGUAAAGGGUGCGUAGGUGGCAGAUCAAGUCUGGAGUAAAAGGUAUGGGCUCAACCCGUACUGGCUCUGGAAACUGAUCAGCUAGAGAACAGAAGAGGACGGCGGAACUCCAUGUGUAGCGGUAAAAUGCGUAGAUAUAUGGAAGAACACCGGUGGCGAAGGCGGCCGUCUGGUCUGGAUUCUGACACUGAAGCACGAAAGCGUGGGGAGCAAAUAGGA
Molecule: ribosomal RNA, 727 nt
Filed under: uncultured bacterium
Lineage: Bacteria
Description: bacterial SSU rRNA
Rfam family: Bacterial small subunit ribosomal RNA
Source: RNAcentral